CUCCUAAAAAGUAUAACUUUGCUAGAGUUUUAUGUGAGAGGUAUAUAUUAGGACUAUUGGUGUAGGGAUGAAAUCCCUUGAUACUAAUAGAAUGUGUAACGGCGAAGACAACCCUCUAUGUAUAAACUGACGUUGAGGGACGAAGGCUUGGGGAGCAAACAGGAUUAGAUACCCUAGUAGUCCAGGCAGAAAAUCAUGAAUGUUAUAGGUUAGAUUAUAAACUGGCGUAUAAAUGAAAGUGUAAGCAUUCCACCUCAAGAGUAAUGCGGCAACGCAGGAACUGAAAUCAUUAGACCGUUUCUGAAACCAGUAGUGAAGUAUGUUUUUUAAUUCGAUGAUCCUCGAAAAACCUUACCACAAUUUGAAUGGUAUUUUAAUAACUAUUGCUUUUUAUAUUAAUAGUUACUUGGAUAUAACAAGCGUUGCACGGCUGUCUAAAGCUAAUGUCGUGAGAUUUUGGUUAGAUCCAUUAAAUUAGCGUGAUCCCUUGCUUCAUUUAUUGGUAGAAAGUAUCGUGCCCUAUCAAGAGAUAAUUAGCAGAAUCCUUCAUUUAUCAACAAUAACGGCAGUGCUUUAUCUACCAACGAUGAGGAUAGUGCUUGGUUGCGUUAGCAACUGGGAUAAUAGGGAAGAAGACAAGUCAUCA
Molecule: ribosomal RNA, 646 nt
Filed under: Capnodiales sp. CCFEE 5389
Lineage: Eukaryota; Fungi; Ascomycota; Dothideomycetes; Capnodiales
Description: mitochondrial SSU rRNA
Rfam family: Bacterial small subunit ribosomal RNA
Source: RNAcentral